AACGAACGCUGGCGGCAUGCCUAACACAUGCAAGUCGAACGAGACCUUCGGGUCUAGUGGCGCACGGGUGCGUAACGCGUGGGAACCUGCCCUUAGGUUCGGAAUAACUCCCCGAAAGGGGUGCUAAUACCGGAUAAUGUCUUCGGACCAAAGAUUUAUCGCCUUUGGAUGGGCCCGCGUUGGAUUAGCUAGUUGGUAGGGUAAAAGCCUACCAAGGCGACGAUCCAUAGCUGGUCUGAGAGGAUGAUCAGCCACACUGGGAGUGAGACACGGCCCAGACUCCUACGGGAAGCAGCAGUGGGGAAUAUUGGACAAUGGGCGAAAGCCUGAUCCAGCAAUGCCGCGUGAGUGAUGAAGGCCUUAGGGUUGUAAAGCUCUUUUACCCGGGAUGAUAAUGACAGUACCGGGAGAAUAAGCUCCGGCUAACUCCGUG
RNAcentral lists this ribosomal RNA (433 nucleotides) under uncultured bacterium. Its description in RNAcentral is "partial 16S ribosomal RNA". It matches the Rfam family "Bacterial small subunit ribosomal RNA", at positions 29 to 507 of the family's 1533-position model. The record is from RNAcentral.